CGUCAAGUCCUCAUGGCCCUUAUGCCCAGAGCUACACACGUGCUACAAUGGGCUGUACAAAGGGUUGCAACCCCGCGAGGGUGAGCUAAUCCCAAAAAGCAGUCCUAAGUUCGGAUUGGAGUCUGCAACUCGACUCCAUGAAGUUGGAAUCGCUAGUAAUCGCAGAUCAGCAUGCUGCGGUGAAUACGUUCCCGGGCCUU
Molecule: ribosomal RNA, 200 nt
Filed under: uncultured Desulfobacteraceae bacterium
Lineage: Bacteria; Pseudomonadati; Thermodesulfobacteriota; Desulfobacteria; Desulfobacterales; Desulfobacteraceae
Description: partial 16S ribosomal RNA
Rfam family: Bacterial small subunit ribosomal RNA
Source: RNAcentral